AGGUCAGGCUCACAUUCCAUUUAGGCCUUCAACUGAUUGGAAAAGGUGCACUCACAUUAGGGAAUACAAUCUGCUUCACUCAAAGACCACCAAUUUGAAUGUUAAUUUCAUCCAUAACAACCUCACAGAAACAGCUAAAAUAAUGUUUGACCACAUAAAUAGGGAACCAUGGCGCAGCCAGCUGGACUCAUAACGUUAACCAUCACAGUAGCCCUGGGUCCUAGGCACCCAAAAAUUUCUCUAGGAAUAGUUGCUGGCUUUGUCUAGAUUUAGGGAAAUCCUCAAUCAGAGCUUUCAAUUCAGCCUGGUUCCCGGGUUUACAUUCUGCAGCUGUCAGUAUACCUGGUUUCUGGGAGCAAUAAGACUUUGGAGACAACAAUUAUUUGGGGGGUCAUACAAGAGUCAUUGGUAAAAGCUAGACAGACAAGGGCAAGAGGAAGGAGGAGCUGAUGGGAGUGCAGAGGAGAGGGGCCAGAAGGAAAGUAAACAACGAGAUAUUCGUACAAGGGGCUGCCACACAGCAAUCAAAAGAAACGAACCAUGCUACAAACAAUGACAGUGAAUCCCACAGAUAACCAGCAGGGCAAAGAGGUCAGAAACAAGAGAUAACACACUAUAUUACACCAUUUGUAUGAGGAGAAGGCCAGGAAAUCCUACACGUUAGGGAGAGGCUUUAGAAUAGUGGUUACCUUGUGGCAAGGGGGUGCUGUGCACUGGGAAGAGACAUGGCUGGUUCCCUGGGGACUGUGUGACCUACGUCUCAAGCAGGUGGUAGCUACAUGGACUGGCAGUUAUGUGGGGUGGUAGUUAUGGGGGGGUGGUAGUUAUUCAAGGUGGUAAUUACACAGAAUGGUAGUUACAUGGGGUGGUAGUUACAUGGGGUGGUAGUUAUUCAAGGUUGUAUUUGCAGGGUGAUAGUUACAUGGAUGGUAGUUGUUUGAGGUGUAGUUACAUGGGGUAGUAGAUAUUUGGGGUGGUAGUUACAGAGGUUGGUAAACACACAGGGUGGUAGUUACAUGUGGUGGUAGUUACAUGGGAUAGUAGUUACACAGAGUGAUAGUUACAUGAGGUGUUAGUUAUUUGGGGUAGUAGAUAUGUAGAUGGUAGUUACUUGGGGUGGUAGUUAUUCAGGGUGGUAGAUACAUAGGGUGGCAGUUGUGUGAGGUGGUAGUUUUUUGGAGUGGUAGCUACAUGGAGUGGUAGCUACAUGAGUUCGUAGUUAUUUGGGGUGGUAGUUACACAGGGUAGUAGUCACAUGGGGUGGUAGUUAUUUGGGAUGGUAGUUGUUACAUGGGGUGAUAGUUAUAUGCAGUGGUAGUUAUCUGGGGUGGUAGUUACAUAAGGUGGUAGUUAUGUGGGGUGGUAUUUACACGGGGCGGUAGUAACAUGCGGUGGUAGUUACAAGGGGUGGUAGUGUGAACCCAGAAAAUCUGAGACAGGUCUCAGUUAAUUUACAAAGUUUAUUUUGCCAAGGCUGAGGAUGCGCACCUGUGACACAGCCCCAGGAGGUCCUAAUGACAUGUGCCUAAAGUGGUCACAGCACAGUUUGGUUUUAUACAUUCUAGGGAGACAUGAGACAUCAGUUAAUAUAUGCAAGAUGAACACUGGUUCGGUCUGGAAAGGCGGGACAACUUGGAGGAAAGAUGGGAAGACUCAAAGUGAGGAGUGGGCUCCCAGGUUGUAGGUAGAUAAGAGACAAAUUGUUGCAUUCUUUUGAGUUUCUGAUUAGCCUCUUCAAAGGAGGCAAUCAGAUGAGCAUUUAUCUCAGUGAGCAGGGGCGACUUUGGAGAGAAUGGGAGGCAGGUUGGCUCUAAGCAGUUCCCAGCUUGACUUUUCCCUUUAGCUUAGCGAUUUGAAGGCCCCAAGAUUGAUUUUCCUUUCACAGUAGUUACAUGGGGUGGUAAUUACAAAGGGUGGUAGUUACAUGGGAUGGUAAUAACUCAGGAUGGUAGUUACAUGGGGUGGUAGUUACAUGGGGUGGUAGUUACAUAGGGUGGUAGUUGUCAGAGUUGUAAUUAUGUGGAUUGGUAGUUAUUCAGGGUGAUAAUUAAAAUGGGUGGUAGUUAUGCAGGAUGUUAGUUACACGGCGUGGUGGUUAUUGUGGGUAUUACUUACACAGGGUGGUAGUUAUUCGGGGUGGUAGUUACACUGGGUGGUAGCGAUACAGGGUGGUGGUCAUUCAGGGUGGCAAUUAUUGAAGGUGAUAGUUAUUCGGGGUGGUAGUGACACAGGGUGGUAUUUAGGUGGGUUGGUGGUUAUUCUGGGUGAUAGUUAUUCAGGGUGGUAGUUACACUGGGCUGUAGUUAAAAGGGUUGGUGAUUAUUUGAGGUGGUAGUGACACAGGGUGGUAGUUAUUCAAAGUGGUAGUUAUUUGGAGUGAUAGUGAUGCAGGGUGGUAGUUAGGCGGAUUGGUGGUUAUACAGGGUGGUAGUUAUUCAGGGUGGUAGUCACAUGGGUGGUGGUUAUAUGGGUGAUACACAGGGUGGUGGAUAUGCAGGGUGGUAGUCACAUGGUGUGGUAGUUAUUCAAGGUGGUAGUUAUUUGGGGUGGUAGUGAUACAGGGUGGUAGUUAGGCGGGUUGGUAGUUAUUCGAAGUGGUGGUUACACAGGGUGGUAGUCACAUGAGGUGGUGAUUAUUGCAUGGUACUCACACGCGGUGGUGGAUAUACGGGUGGUAGUCACACGGGGUGGUAGUGACACAGGGUGGUAGUUAUUCAAAGGGGUAGUUAUUUGGGGUGGUAGUGACACAGGAUGGUAGUUAGGCGGGUUGGUGGUUAUACAAAGUGGUAGUUAUUCAGGGUGGUAGUCACACAGGGUGGUGGUUAUAGGGGUGGUACUCACACAGGGUGGUGCAUAUACGGGGUGGCAGUCACACAGGGUGGUAGUUAUUCGAGGUGGUAGUUUUUCGGAGUGGUAGUUAUUCAGAGGGUGGUAGUUAGGCAGGUUGGUGGCUAUUCGGGGUGGUAGUCAGUUAUUGGGGUGGUACUCACACAGGGUGGUGGCUAUGCAGGGUGGCAGUCACACAGGGUGGUAGUCAGUUAUUGGGGUGGUACUCACACAGGGUGGUGGCUAUGCGGGGUGGCAGUCACACGGGGUGGUAGUUAUUGGGAUAGUGACUAUGUGGGGUGGCAGGCGGGGUGGCAGUCACAUGGGGUGGUAGUUAUUGGGGUGGUGGCUAUGCGGGGUGGCAGGCCGGUUGGCAGUUGCGUGGGUGCAGCUCUCCAGUUUUGUGCACUUUGUGUUUGUCAUUCCCGCUGGUGCGCUUGUAAAUGUUUAAUAAGCAGCUGUCUGGGCAAGAAAGCUCUAGUUUGCAGUGUUUGCCCCUUCCGAGGCAUGACUCUUCUCACCUGUGGCCACUUCCAGGCUGCACAUGUGACGUCCAUGAGCACAGUUAGGGAGGGCCGUGGAUCCGCAUCACCUUGCGAGCAUAAAUGCAGUCAAAUGUGAAUGAGCUGCAAGUGACAAGUUUGAGUAUUUUUUCCCUUCAUUUUAAUACAAUUCAUCUAAUAGUAAGUUUUUAACGUUUAAUUUUUAAUGAUUUCUGUGUUAACAACU
Molecule: long non-coding RNA, 3555 nt
Filed under: Homo sapiens (human)
Lineage: Eukaryota; Metazoa; Chordata; Mammalia; Primates; Hominidae
Description: HSALNT0265885
Source: RNAcentral